GCAAGUCCUAUACAUAUCAUAAAAUGCUCAAUAGAAAAUGGAACAGUACCAGUGGAAUGGAAAAGAGCUGAGGUGGUUCCCAUAUAUAAGGCUGGCCAUACACUAUCAUGUACACCUGACAGGUACGCCUGAACAGUCACGCCUGUCAGGUAUACCUGAUAGUGUAUGGCGGGAAAAACUAGCCUCUCAGGCAACUUGACAACUGAUGAAAAUUCAAUCAGUUCUGCCUGACAGGCGAGUAAACUUGAUGUGUGUGUGUCGGUUUCAUCAGGUGUACCUGAACAGGUCUCUCAGUUAUUAACAAUCCUUUGAUAUGGACAGUUUAAAUUUUUUUGUGUACAGCUUUGUAAUUUUGAUUUAUUUUACAGUUGAGUUCCUUUAAUUUUUUUAAGUGCUAAAUCAAACAAACAGUUUAGUUACACAUUGAAAAAUGUCGCAACGAAAUAUUGAAGUUCUUGGUGAGUUUAUUGAAUUAUACAAAAGUGAACCUUGCUUGUGUAAAGUAAAAGUUGAUGAUUAUCACGAUAGAGACAAAAGAGAUGCUGCAUACAGAAAAUUAGUGAUGAAAUUAAAGGAAAUAGAGCCUGAUGCUAAUGAGACUGGUUAAAAAAAAAAUUAACAGUUUGAGGUCCAAUGUUCGAAAGGAGCAGAAGAAAAUUGACUCCUCAAUGAAAUCGGCGCCUCAGCAGAUAAUGUGUACAAACCUUCCCUGUGGUACUUCAAACUUUUUGAUUUCAUAAAGGACCAAGAUAAUCCUAGAUCAUCGGUCUCAAAUUUAUCUCCUGAAAAUGACAAUGAUGAGGUGAACAUUGAUGACCCAUGUCCAGAGGAAAACGAUUUGACACCAAAUGUCUCUCAAGAAGAGCGGUGGGAACCGAAUCAACCUACACCGUCGACUGGAAUUUCAUGACCUGGGCCCAGUAACAAGAGGAAAUCCAAUGAUGAUACAUCAGCUGAAAUAUUGUCCACUGUUCGUGAUUAUUUCAAACAACCGCAACCACAAAUCGACUGUUGUACGCUCUUGGGAAGAACAGUAACUAUGAAAAUGAGGGGCAUUAAAGAUAAACGCCUGCACAUCAUGUUCGAAAAAGAAAUUAAUGAUUUACUAUUUGAAGCAGAAAUGUGCGCUCUGAACUACUCAAAUUCCACUUUAGCAAGUCCAGAAGAUUACACAUCAGUUCCCACACCAACUCCACAACAUUAUACACCAGUUCCCACACCAACUCCACAACAUUAUACACCAGUUCUCACACCAACUCCACAACAUUAUACACCAGUUCUCACACCAACUCCACAACAUUAUACACCAGUUCCCACACCAAGUCCACAACAUUAUACACCAGCUCCUACACCAAGUCCACAUCAUCACACACCAGCUCCCACACCAAGUCCGCAACAUCACACACCAUUCAUGCAACAAGAACAAAACACAACUUCUCACAACAAUACAGAAACGGCAGCAACGUUUCUUUCAAAUUUCACUGCAACAUUUGAAUGAGUGAAUAUGAAAAUAAAAAGUUUGUUUAAGUAUAUUAAAAGUUGACGUUAUAUUUUUCCUUCUUUAUUAUUGAAAGGUGUCUUACUUUUGAAUGAGUAAAUAUGAUAAUAAAAAGUUGUUUAAGUAUAUUA
This is a long non-coding RNA of Portunus trituberculatus (swimming crab), 1629 nucleotides long. RefSeq lists it as uncharacterized. Lineage: Eukaryota; Metazoa; Arthropoda; Malacostraca; Decapoda; Portunidae. The transcript is spliced from 2 exons. The record is from RefSeq and is a predicted model, not a curated record.